This 497-nucleotide ribosomal RNA is filed under the name uncultured bacterium. Its description in RNAcentral is "partial 16S ribosomal RNA". It matches the Rfam family "Bacterial small subunit ribosomal RNA", at positions 28 to 507 of the family's 1533-position model. The record is from RNAcentral.
GACGAACGCUGGCGGCGUGCCUAAUACAUGCAAGUAGAACGCUGAAACUUGGUGCUUGCACCGAGCGGAUGAGUUGCGAACGGGUGAGUAACGCGUAGGUAACCUGCCUGGUAGCGGGGGAUAACUAUUGGAAACGAUAGCUAAUACCGCAUAAGAGUAGAUGUUGCAUGACAUUUGCUUAAAAGGUGCAAUUGCACCACUACCAGAUGGACCUGCGUUGUAUUAGCUAGUUGGUGGGGAAACGGCUCACCAAGGCGACGAUACAUAGCCGACCUGAGAGGGUGAUCGGCCACACUGGGACUGAGACACGGCCCAGACUCCUACGGGAGGCAGCAGUAGGGAAUCUUCGGCAAUGGACGGAAGUCUGACCGAGCAACGCCGCGUGAGUGAAGAAGGUUUUCGGAUCGUAAAGCUCUGUUGUAAGAGAAGAACGAGUGUGAGAGUGGAAAGUUCACACUGUGACGGUAUCUUACCAGAAAGGGACGGCUAACUACGUG